RNAcentral lists this ribosomal RNA (437 nucleotides) under 'Vicia faba' phytoplasma. RNAcentral describes it as "bacterial SSU rRNA". It matches the Rfam family "Bacterial small subunit ribosomal RNA", at positions 793 to 1239 of the family's 1533-position model. The record is from RNAcentral. Lineage: Bacteria; Bacillati; Mycoplasmatota; Mollicutes; Acholeplasmatales; Acholeplasmataceae.
GUCCACGCCGUAAACGAUGAGUACUAAGUGUCGGGUUAAACCGGUACUGAAGUUAACACAUUAAGUACUCCGCCUGAGUAGUACGUACGCAAGUAUGAAACUUAAAGGAAUUGACGGGACUCCGCACAAGCGGUGGAUCAUGUUGUUUAAUUCGAAGAUACCCGAAAAACCUUACCAGGUCUUGACAUGUUUUUGCAAAAUGAUAGUAAUAUCGUGGAGGUUACCAGAAACACAGGUGGUGCAUGGUUGUCGUCAGCUCGUGUCGUGAGAUGUUAGGUUAAGUCCUAAAACGAGCGAAACCCUUAUCGUUAGUUGCCAGCACGUUAUGGUGGGGACUUUAACGAGACUGCCAAUGAUAAAUUGGAGGAAGGUGAGGAUCACGUCAGAUCAGCAUGCCCCUUAUGACCUGGGCUACAAACGUGAUACAAUGGCUGUAC